RNAcentral lists this ribosomal RNA (237 nucleotides) under Glomeromycotina sp. Its description in RNAcentral is "partial small subunit ribosomal RNA". The stretch from base 40 to 237 matches the Rfam family "Eukaryotic small subunit ribosomal RNA", at positions 686 to 886 of the family's 1831-position model. Lineage: Eukaryota; Fungi; Glomeromycota. The record is from RNAcentral.
GGGUCAGUAGGUUGGUCGUGCCACCGGUACGUACUGGUCUCACUGAUUCCUCCUUCCUGAAGAACCGUAAUGCCAUUAAUUUGGUGUUGCGGGGAAACAGGACUGUUACUUUGAAAAAAUUAGAGUGUUUAAAGCAAGCUAACGCUUGAAUACAUUAGCAUGGAAUAAUGAAAUAGGACGAUCGAUCCUAUUUUGUUGGUUUCUAGGAUUGACGUAAUGUUAAUAGGGAUAGUUGGG